This 498-nucleotide ribosomal RNA is filed under the name uncultured bacterium. RNAcentral describes it as "bacterial SSU rRNA". It matches the Rfam family "Bacterial small subunit ribosomal RNA", at positions 29 to 507 of the family's 1533-position model. The record is from RNAcentral.
ACGAACGCUGGCGGCGUGCCUAAUACAUGCAAGUCGAGCGGACUAAUUAAGAGCUUGCUCUUAUGAGGUUAGCGGCGGACGGGUGAGUAACACGUGGGCAACCUGCCCUGUAGACUGGGAUAACAUCGAGAAAUCGGUGCUAAUACCGGAUAAUUGUUGGAACUGCAUAGUUCUAACUUAAAAGAUGGCUCCGGCUAUCACUAUAGGAUGGGCCCGCGGCGCAUUAGCUAGUUGGUAAGGUAAUGGCUUACCAAGGCGACGAUGCGUAACCGACCUGAGAGGGUGAUCGGCCACACUGGGACUGAGACACGGCCCAGACUCCUACGGGAGGCAGCAGUAGGGAAUCUUCCGCAAUGGACGAAAGUCUGACGGAGCAACGCCGCGUGAGUGAUGAAGGUUUUCGGAUCGUAAAGCUCUGUUGUUAGGGAAGAACAAGUGCCGUUCGAAUAGGGCGGCACCUUGACGGUACCUAACCAGAAAGCCACGGCUAACUACGUG